This 292-nucleotide ribosomal RNA is filed under the name uncultured bacterium. RNAcentral describes it as "partial 16S ribosomal RNA". It matches the Rfam family "Bacterial small subunit ribosomal RNA", at positions 505 to 796 of the family's 1533-position model. The record is from RNAcentral.
GUGUCAGCAGCCGCGGUAAUACAGAGGUCCCAAGCGUUGUUCGGAUUCAUUGGGCGUAAAGGGUGCGUAGGCGGUGAAGUAAGUUGGAUGUGAAAUCCCGGGGCUUAACCCCGGAACUGCAUUCAAUACUGCUUUGCUAGAGUACUGGAGAGGAGAUUGGAAUUCACGGUGUAGCAGUGAAAUGCGUAGAUAUCGUGAGGAAGACCAGUGGCGAAGGCGAAUCUCUGGACAGUUACUGACGCUGAGGCACGAAGGCUAGGGGAGCAAACGGGAUUAGAUACCCCGGUAGUCC